This 468-nucleotide ribosomal RNA is filed under the name uncultured bacterium. RNAcentral describes it as "partial 16S ribosomal RNA". It matches the Rfam family "Bacterial small subunit ribosomal RNA", at positions 28 to 507 of the family's 1533-position model. The record is from RNAcentral.
GACGAACGCUGGCGGCGUGCUUAACACAUGCAAGUCGAACGGAAAGGCCCUGCUUUUGUGGGGUGCUCGAGUGGCGAACGGGUGAGUAACACGUGAGUAACCUGCCCUUGACUUUGGGAUAACUUCAGGAAACUGGGGCUAAUACCGGAUAGGAGCUCCUGCUGCAUGGUGGGGGUUGGAAAGUUUCGGCGGUUGGGGAUGGACUCGCGGCGUAUCAGCUUGUUGGUGGGGUAGUGGCUUACCAAGGCUUUGACGGGUAGCCGGCCUGAGAGGGUGACCGGCCACAUUGGGACUGAGAUGCGGCCCAGACUCCUACGGGAGGCAGCAGUGGGGAAUAUUGCACAAGGGGCGGAAGCCUGAUGCAGCAACGCCGCGUGCGGGAUGACGGGCUUCGGGUUGUAAACCGCUUUCGCCUGUGACGAAGCGUGAGUGACGGUAAUGGGUAAAGAAGCACCGGCUAACUACGUG